AGGAUUCUAGUCUAAUUUAUGAUAGUAGUUUUAGGGGUUACAGGUUAAGGGGUUUCUUUAGGAUCUUU
Molecule: transfer RNA, 68 nt
Filed under: Rhabdopleura sp. NHMO H2137
Lineage: Eukaryota; Metazoa; Hemichordata; Pterobranchia; Rhabdopleurida; Rhabdopleuridae
Description: tRNA-Leu
Source: RNAcentral